RNAcentral lists this ribosomal RNA (461 nucleotides) under uncultured bacterium. Its description in RNAcentral is "bacterial SSU rRNA". It matches the Rfam family "Bacterial small subunit ribosomal RNA", at positions 39 to 484 of the family's 1533-position model. The record is from RNAcentral.
GGCCGCGGGAAUUCGAUUCAGGCCUAACACAUGCAAGUCGAACGAUGAAACUCUAGCUUGCUAGAGAUGAUUAGUGGCGGACGGGUGAGUAACAUUUAGGAAUCUGCCUAGUAGUGGGGGAUAGCUCGGGGAAACUCGAAUUAAUACCGCAUACGACCUACGGGUGAAAGGGGGCGCAAGCUCUUGCUAUUAGAUGAGCCUAAAUCAGAUUAGCUAGUUGGUGGGGUAAAGGCCUACCAAGGCGACGAUCUGUAACUGGUCUGAGAGGAUGAUCAGUCACACCGGAACUGAGACACGGUCCGGACUCCUACGGGAGGCAGCAGUGGGGAAUAUUGGACAAUGGGGGCAACCCUGAUCCAGCCAGGCCGCGUGUGUGAAGAAGGCCUUUUGGUUGUAAAGCACUGGAGAGCAGGGAGGAGAGGCUAAUGGUUAAUACCCAUUAGAUUAGACGUUACCUGCAG